CGGGCUGAGGGACGCCGCACGUCCUGGAGAUCAGAGUUGCUUCCCAAGUGUUUCCCAGUGCAACGUCUGGCUUCCAGCGAUUUGCGGGAAUUUGUCUCCUUUCCCUCCCCUUUAGUGAUGCUUUAUGCCGGAAACAGAGGUGUCUCAAGGGCUUGUCUGACACUGUGAUCCACUUUGCAGUACUACGGUUCAAAUGAGAGCCGUGCUUCCCUUCUGGCAUCAGCUCCCCAGGAAGCAAGACGCAUCCGUGAUCUGUAGCCGCUGCACGACCAUCCUGCAGUCCUUCCCAUUGUGGCAGUCCCGACGCUCUGGCACUGCUUGAGUUUGAAGCUCUCUGAGCUGUGGUGCUGGGUGUUAUAACUAUGGGAAUACUAAUACACCUAUUCACGAUAAUGCUUUAAUUGCCUCUACUGGUGGUGUUAGACAAUGAAAUUAGACAAUGGUGAGAGAUUUCCUUUGGAAGUUCAAUUAAACCUCUGUAGAAAUUCUCUUCAGACAAAAUAAAGAUCACAGAAUUGUGGAAGGGACCACUGAAGGCCAUCUAGUCCAACUCUCCUGCAAUGAACAGGGAUACCAAAUUUCUGCCUUUGUAAUUAGCAGUGAUACUGUUUCAUGCACGAUCUCUCUAAAUCAUAUUUGAUUGCUAUGAACUUUUAAAAUUAGUUCUGUUCAUCAGGAAAGGGGUAAAAGAAUCUAGAAAGUAGCUGCAGAAAAGGCUCUGGGGGAGUCUUUCUGGACAGCAAGUUGAAUGUGAGCCAGCAGUGUGCCCUUGCAGCAAAGAAGGCCAAUGAUAUCCUGGGCUGCAUCAGGAAUAUUGCCAGCCAGCUGAGGAAGGUGAUCCUUGGCCUUUGCUCAGCAUUUGUGAGGCUACACCUGGAGUGCUGUGUCCAGUUCUGGUCUCCCCAGUAUGAGGAACAUUCUGAAGAGAGCUGAGGAUAAUGGAGGUCCUAGAGCAUCUCUGAGCAAAGACUGAAAGAGCUGGGAGUGCUUAGCCUGGAGAGAAGGUGCACAAUCUUCUAAAAGUGCCAGGACAAAAAGCACUGGGCACAAACUGGAAUACAGAAGUUUCCAUCCAAACACCAGGAAGCACUUCUGUGCUGUGCAGGUGACGGAGCACUGGCACAAGCCACCCAGAGAGGCUUUGGAGUCUCCUCCCUGGAGAUCUUCAGAAGCUGUCUGGACAUGCGCCUGGGCAGCCUGCUCUGGGUGUCCUGCUUGAGCAGGAGUUGGACCAGAUGGACCCAGAAGCCCCUACCAACCUCAAACAUUCAGUGCUUCUGUUAUUCUGGGAUGUGAUAAUUUAGUAGAAUCAUAGAAUGGUCUGGAUUAGGGUUGGAAAGGACCUUAAAGAUUAUCCAGUUGCAGUUCACAGCAGGGGGAUUGGGCUACCCAGGGUCCCAUCCAACUUGUCCUUGAACACUUCCAGGGAUGGGGCAUCCACAGCUUUUCUGGUCAGCCUGUGCCAGCAUCUUGCCAUCCUUACAGUAACAGUGUUAUUCCCUAUAUCCAAUCUAAAUCUACCCCUUUUUGUCCCUUGUCCUAUCAUUACUGGCCCUAGUAAAACAAACAAUCAAAUGAAAAACAACACUCUUUCUUCACCUUUCUUGUAGGCCCCUCCAAAUACUGGAAGGCCACAGUCAGGUCUCCCUGGACCCUUCUCUUCUGCAGACUGAACAAGCUCAACUCCCUCAGCCUUUGUAAGAGAGGUUCUCCCAUCCCUAACUACACUCAUGAUCCUUCUCUGGGUUUGCCUUAAUAGAUAUGUCUUUUUUGUUCUGCAGCUCCUGGAGUUGGAUGGGCCAAUCUUUGUAGGUUCAGUCAGUAUGUGGGAACAAGUGAGAAACAGAGGGUUUAAACAAAUUAAUUUCCUUUCAUAAUUCUGGCUGCUGCUAAGUAAUAUUUUUGUACUGAUUCUCGUGUGUUCACCAGUGAAAGGGGCUGGGUUCUGCAGCUCAUUUCCUCAUUGCUUUUUCAGGUUUUCAAAUAUCAAUUCAUAACGUAAAGAAAAAGAUAGAUGCAAAAUGAAUGUGCCUGUGCUUACACAUAUAUUCCACAUUAUUUCAAUAUUACAAUAUUAUAUCCUUUGUUUUUCUAGAACAAGAUACCCUUUCUAGGAAGUUUCAUCUCAAAAAGAUAUAUUCUAAAACAACAUGCUAGAAGAUCUUGUUAUGUGUUCCGUUUGCAUGCACAUAUGCUUCGUUUAAUAAUAAUUAAUUCAGAACAUAGUUCAGGCCGAUGAAAUGCUUUUCUCCUUGAGUCAACCAUUUUUCAUGGCCACUCUUUUUUUUUUUUUAAUGACUGUUGUAAAGCUAGCCUUUAGUGAGUUUAAGUAAAAUAUUUUAUAAUUGGCUUUAUUUGAAAAUCAAUUUUAACUCGACUUACUUAAGCUAAAGUUUGUGGCAGGUCAACAAAGCUAACUUUAUUUAUAUAUUUAAUUAUUUUGCUGGGAGAGCCAAGGAGGUUUUAGAUAUCUAGAGCAGCAAAUGGACACUUAAAUUCUACACAGAUUCAAAAUUGCCUGCUGAUUCUUAGUGAUAAGCAAUCAUAAGCUCUAAUUUCUCUUCUUUUUUCCCUGAUACUCUGCUCCUGUGCUCGCACUCCGACAUUUAGGUCUCCAUACAUAGAAGCACUUGGUUUGUAUAUCUUUGUAGAUUUUGGGCCCUGCUAAAAACAUCAAGGCAGCUGUAGCCAAGCCACCAGGCCCAUCAUGCUGCCUAUGGUAGUGGCCUGGAGAAGGCUUUGACAUCCACUACAAACAUUUUCCAGACCUUUGGCUUCUUUGCAGCUUGGAGGCUCUCUGAUACUUUCACACUUGUUUGUAAAAUGCCCGGAGACCAGAGUUCAGAUUUCACCCAGACCCAAAUCAGUGUUCUAAGGACAAGGUUUACUCAAUCAAAAUCAAAUGGGUUUAUAAAGGAGGGCAGAGGCUAUCUUCUCCAGACUGCCUGAGUACUUGGCUCCAAGGUGAGAACUGUGGGUGUGAAUCCCUGCAGGAAUCCUGGACCUGCAGUGCUUUCAGCAUGGAUCUGCGGGAGUCAGCCACACCUUGGAUCACCUCAGAGAUGGGUCCAAUCUGGGCCUAGAUGAAUUUCUUCUUGGUUGCCUAAAAUGUGACCUCAUUUUGAAAACCUUUCCAAGGCUGUCAGUACAAGGCAAACAAAAUCAUGCCUUGCCCUUGAUUCUGAGAUGGUUGAAUUGCAAGUCAGCUCCAGUGUGGGCCAUUAUCACAGUGCUAAAUUUGAUCUGCUAAGUCCUGCUGGGGUAAAGAGGAUAUUAGGUCAUGCUCAGUCGGCUGACUUGGCUGCACAAUUUCUGGUCAGCAGUACAAGCAGCACAAGAGCAAGGCUGUCUAGCAUAGUCUGAGGUAUCCAAUUCUUCUCUCAUAUGACGUAUGAAUCCUAAAGUGCAUAUUUCAGAGCUCUAGGCCCCCCACAUCUAUGGGAAAUGUGCAGAUAUAGUCACAUACAUGGGUCACCAUUGCCUCAGUAAUCUGCAAAGCAGGUUCCUGUCAAAGCUAAAGUUCAGGGCCAAGAGAGUUGUUACUGCAGUUACUUACACUGGUGGAUGCACCAGAGAUCUAUUUUUUUUUCCUUCCUUCUUUUUCCCCCGUAGUCACCACAUAAUUUCCAUCCAAUCUUCACAAAUCCUAAUGCUCUAUUCAAAUACAUGCUUUGUGUGCCUCUGGUUUCACCACAGUGGAUUGUCGUGUGUGGCAGCACUGCAGACUUGCAUAGUUGAAUGUGUAGAGAAAAAGCUGUAAAGAGAAUAGAAAAAGCAUGAACAACGAUGUCAGUUAGUAGAAUUUAAUUAUAACUUAGAAGCAAAGCUAGUUGACUGAGCUUGUGUUAAAAGGGUUUGGAGAACCAGGUGAUCUAAUAGCUCUUUGAUUUUUCAGGUAAGAAACUAGUAAAGGACGUGAUUCUCUUCAGAGCAUGUGCUCCUCCUCUUAAUUUCAGCUAAUUUUGUAUCUCUGUGACUAUUUCUAUGUAUUUUGCUUGUCUGAAAUCUACUGACAAUAGUAAUUAGGUGAAUACUACUUUUUUUUGUGUUACAAAGAGCAAUACUGAAUCAGAGAGAAGAAACAUCUUGCUAAGGUUCUGAGCUCCAAGGGUAAGUCAGAGACUUCAAGAUUAGCUACUUAUGUGCUAUUUGCAGUUUCAAGUAACCUUUUUUUUCACUCAGAAGGGCAGUUAGGCCACCAUUAGAUUGUUCUAGCUGACUCAAGAUUUGUCUACUUUUUCAAAAUUAUCGAAUCUUAGAAUGAGCGUGAGCACAGCAGUCAAAACUGCAAGCUUUUGGUGUCUCUGCUCAAUAAUGGCACUGAGAUUUUAAACUAAAUAGUUUGACAGCUACAGAGAUUUGUUUUUCAGGUGAAGUGGCUUAACAGGACAGAUGCAAAGGAACUUUGUAGGAUGGAUCAGAGAGUGGUACUUCCAGCACCAAGGCCAUCUGCUGGCUUUGUCACUGUAACACUGUCCAAGGAACAGCUAUUAUUACUACAGAUACAUAGUAUGAAAUAAUCUUUCUUACUGUUUGAAGAAGAUAAGGAGAGAGAGACAGAAGAAAACUAUUAUUUAGGCUUGCUUAAUUUUUGAAGGUACCCUCACCUUUUUGAGCUUCAGCCUUACCCUGUCAAAGAACCUCCCGUCAAAAUUGUAAGUGAGUCAGAAGUCCAGGUAUAUUUAACUAAUCCUUGUAGAAGUCACGUCAUCUGGAGCCAGUUACACAGAAAUAGAAAAUGCCAAAUUUUUCUGUUGACAUAAUGAAAACAUACAUGUUGCCUGUCUUGUUUCUCUUCCAGCAUCCUAGAGCUCGAAGACAGCAAAGCAUGUUUCUGCUGCUUGCAAGAAGAGAAUUAUAAUAAAAUUAGCUCAUAGAUUCUGCCAUUUCACAUGAAGUUCUUUAUAAAUAUUCAUCUAAAUGACCCAUUCUUGCUAAUUAAGUAGUUGUCUGUAUACAGAGACUGGUACUUCAUGGUAUGCAAUGAGUGUUAAUCUCUUCCCAGAAGUUAAGUACAAGGUGCUUUGAUGGUCCACAGUGUUGAAUGUACUAGGAGCUUCAUUCAGAUACAUAACUUGUCCUGCUUAGAAUUCAGAGUAAGAUCAAAUGAUAGAGAUCAACCUCAGUAAACGUAGAAACGGCAUUAAAAAGCUAUGGUGUUCCUCCUCGUAUCCACCAUGCUGUGUUUUGUGAAAGACUGGACUGAAAUUCAAUUUACCUGUUGAUGUUUACACCAGCCGCUGUUUUGAGAAUUUCAGCAUUCAUUUCAUCAAGCAAGUAAAUAUUUACUACUCUGUUUCUCCCAAAGCAGCAAUGGUUAUUAAAUGAUAACAAAAGAAAUUGUGGUAUUUGUGCAGAAAUGAAUAAAUCUCCAAUUUUUCUCCCAGGACUCACCUGACUAGGCAGAAAAAGUGAUUAAAUGUGCAUUUAAGCAUAUUUACAUGGAAGAACAUCUUUGAGAAGCCUACUCUGUGGUAGUUAAGAACCACAGCUGUUGAUUGCAGUGCCUAUCUUGUUCUAUUACAGCUGCUAUUUCUGUGGACAAAAAGGUGAGUGGAGGUUAUAACUUUUAGUUUCCAUUAGUACAUGUAAAAGAGACCAAUGUGAAAUCUUUUGUUCCUUUUGUUUAUAUAAGGGUUUGCUCACUUUCAGUGUGCUGUACCAGAGAAAGUCCACAGAGAACAGCAAUACUCAGCAGGUGCCAAUAAGGACAGAAUCGGAGAGCUAAUUUAAUCUGCUUCUCAGGUUGUUGAAGGUAGCAACUGGAAUUCCACUAAUUAUCUCCUUCCCAUCUUAGCUUAUAAAGUAAAUGCACCUUAUGGAAUAAGUAGAAAGUAUUCAUUAUUUCCAACAGAUGAAAAUUAUGUUUUGUCCUGAACGAUUGUUAGGAGACCUUGAACAUGCAAAGUUACCACUGAGAAGUCUAUAUAUGGGAGAUGAUAACAUGGAGCAUAUUCAUUUUGCUAUAGUUAUGUGUUGAGAUACAAACCUUAGUUUUAGGGGAUUCCCGUUCACUCUUCUUGUAAAUAUAUAUUUUUUUUUAAUCACAUUUAGUUAUUGUAACCACCUUUGGUUUCAAUCAGAUUGUUUCAAAGAGACUGCUACAUGUAAUAACUGAUAUUAUUUCAUGGUGGAAUAAUCUGUCCUCCAGGAAUGUAAAAGAUGUGGAAACGCUUUGAUAAAACAUAAUGCCAGUUGAAGCCAAUAUUUCUCUUCUUAUGAGUGGUGAAUACUAGAAAAACGACAAACACUACUGGCCUUAUCUGGAUCACCACACUGCAGAUCUAAAUCACAUAUACAGUGCCCUCCAGUUGUGUUAGGUAUGCAGGAAUGCAGAGCCUCUUAGCAGUGGUUAACGUCCUUCCUUUGGGAAAGGGCUCCCUCAAGAAUUCUCUCAAAGUCUGGCACAUACAUUCCUGGGCAGUUCUUCUGUACUCACCAUGUCUGUUGGUCUCUUGAUACCAAUCCAUGGUUUUAGGUUGUUUGUCCAACUGGUUCUGCAUUUGCAUAAUGUUUUCACCACUGCCCAGGAUGGUUUGUACCACUGUGAAAACGUGGAAUAAUCCUCAGAAUUGACUUAAUAUAACAGGCAUCUCACGUUCACAGCCUUGUUGUAAUGUUGCACAAUCAAUACACAAUGUAAUUUAUUUUUAGCUGGUACAAAUAAUAUAAUAGGAGGCAUCACUCUUGAUUGUUGUUAUUAUUUUUUAAUUUAAUUUCCCACAGAAAGAGUAUAUAUAAAAAAAAGUCUACUAGGACAAAUAGAAAAAGGGGCCUAGUUCUCCAAAUUAUUCCCUUAAAGUACUCUGUUACUACCUCCCAUUUUGGCUGUAAUUAGUUUUAGAUGAAGCCAAUAGCCACAGAAAUACCACAAAUUAUUUAAUUGAUGACAUUUUUUUUCACUGGCUGAUGUUAAUUGACUAUCAAAAGAAUAAAUUUAUGGAAUCCUCAGAGGAAACGUAUCUGUUUAAUUUCAGUUUUCUUAUUUCUCUUAGAAAAUAUAUGAUAUCUUAUAGGAUCAGCAGAACGUGGACUUCCUGUGAUACUCUUUUCUCAUACUUACUUCAGAGAUAGUCAUUAAAAGUGAAAUAACUUCUGAUGUGAUGUACUCCAUUACAUCCUGGAUAUUGCUGCUGGUGAGUGGAUGACUUACAGGAUUAUUAACAGAGUCAAUCUAUUGAUGAUCCAAGCAGACAUUUUUAUUUGCUAACAAAAUGCACUAAGGGAAAGAACUAUGAGAAAACUGGAGGAAUUUGCCUAGUGGCUAACAGGACUUGAGUAUACACCUUGAACUUUUUUUAUAGAAAUAGUGCAAAGAAAAAAAACAACCUAGAGUCGUUCAUAUUUGACCAAAAGCUACUUGCAGUUUAUGAUAUUUCUCAUCUGGGAAAUGAAGGUCCAUGCAAUCCACCAUCCCCUCAUCUCAGAGAAAUGAUCCAGGAAUCUUCAAAUAUUUGAAGAGCAAACCAUGGGAAUCAUGAUUUCCUCCCUUGCUGAAACCAACAGCCUAAUAAUGAAGCUCUUCAUGAGACUGUGAAGCCAGCACCAGCAACAAUGAGUCUUCAUUAUUCCUGGAGAAGACUGGGGUGUUUGAUAUGCAUGAAGCUUUGUGCAGACAGCUACAACUAUAAACUGCCAUUUGUUACUGUCAAACAAAUAAGUGUUACAACUAUUUAGAAGUGUUGUUCUUCUCUAGCAAGGGAUUUAUACUUGAAAAAUAAAACAAAACUAAUUAGUA
Molecule: non-coding RNA, 7738 nt
Organism: Meleagris gallopavo (turkey)
Lineage: Eukaryota; Metazoa; Chordata; Aves; Galliformes; Phasianidae
Source: RefSeq, a predicted model, not a curated record